GUAUUUUAAAUAAUUUUUUUAUAUAAAUUUUAUAGGUCUUUAUUUAUUUUUUUCUCUUUA
RNAcentral lists this transfer RNA (60 nucleotides) under Phloeosinus perlatus. Its description in RNAcentral is "tRNA-His". The record is from RNAcentral. Lineage: Eukaryota; Metazoa; Arthropoda; Insecta; Coleoptera; Curculionidae.